GAUGAACGCUGGCGGCGUGCCUAAUACAUGCAAGUCGAGCGAACAGACGAGGAGCUUGCUCCUCUGACGUUAGCGGCGGACGGGUGAGUAACACGUGGAUAACCUACCUAUAAGACUGGGAUAACUUCGGGAAACCGGAGCUAAUACCGGAUAAUAUAUUGAACCGCAUGGUUCAAUAGUGAAAGACGGUUUUGCUGUCACUUAUAGAUGGAUCCGCGCCGCAUUAGCUAGUUGGUAAGGUAACGGCUUACCAAGGCAACGAUGCGUAGCCGACCUGAGAGGGUGAUCGGCCACACUGGAACUGAGACACGGUCCAGACUCCUACGGGAGGCAGCAGUAGGGAAUCUUCCGCAAAGGGCGAAAGCUUGACGGAGCAACGCCGCGUGAGUGAUAAAGGUCUUCGGAUCGUAAAACUCUGUUAUUAGGGAAGAACAAAUGUGUAAGUAACUAUGCACGUCUUGACGGUACCUAAUCAGAAAGCCACGGCUAACUACGUG
This 497-nucleotide ribosomal RNA is filed under the name uncultured bacterium. RNAcentral describes it as "partial 16S ribosomal RNA". It matches the Rfam family "Bacterial small subunit ribosomal RNA", at positions 28 to 507 of the family's 1533-position model. The record is from RNAcentral.